This is a long non-coding RNA of Apodemus sylvaticus (European woodmouse), 6393 nucleotides long. RefSeq lists it as uncharacterized. NCBI's taxonomy places the organism in Eukaryota, Metazoa, Chordata, Mammalia, Rodentia, Muridae. The record is from RefSeq and is a predicted model, not a curated record. The transcript is spliced from 2 exons.
CUCACUGAUAAGUGGAUAUUUGCCCAAAACCUCAAAAUAAACAAGAUACAACUCACAGACCAUAAGAACCUCAAGAAGGAAGACCAAAGUGUUGGUGCUUCGGUUUUUCUGAGAAAGGGAAGAAAACACUUACAGGAGCAAUUAUGAAGACAAAAUGUGGGGCAGAGACUGAAAGAAAGGCCAUCCAGAGUCUGUCCUACCUGGGUAUUCAUCCUAUAGACAGACACCAAACCCUAACGCUAUUAUAGAUAACAAGAAGUGCUUGCCGAAAAGAGCCUAUUAAGGCUGCUUCCUGAGGGGACCUGCCAGAGCCUUACAGAUACAGCCUGGCAGAUGCUAGCAACCAACCAUUAGACUGCACACCGGGUCCCCAAUGGAGGAGCUCAAGGGAGGACUGGAGAAGCUGAAAGGGUUUGCAGCCCCAUGGAGAAAUGGCAGGUGUCACUGACAAGGUGCUGGCUGCUUCCAUAUCAACAUCAGUAAACAGUAAGUGGGGUCGUGCAACCUCAGAGGCAGCUUCCACAUGAAGGACAAAGUGAACUCUGCCUGAGAGCCUAGAGACUGGUGAUGCAAACAAUGACUGCCAAUCAGGAACUGCUACUUGGAGGACACACCUGCUUAGGACCAAUGAGAUUUGGGUGGAGGGUAUAAAGGAUACUCCCUGAGAAUUAAUAAACAAGCAUGCUGCCCAGUUCUCACCAGCUCCCAGAGUCUGAGCCAUUGAUUGCACACCACCUCACCCCCAACCCACAAGGGCAGGUAUGGUUGGGCAGCCGGCGGCCGGCAGGUGGUCUGCAGUGCAAAGCAGCAAUCUACCUACAAAUAAAGCACUACAGAAGGUGCUAUGAAAAAACUCGAACCUAAGGAGGUUAACUGCACCAAUGAAAAACACAGAAAAUGAAUGAUUUCUCAUCAGCAAAGUUAAAAGGAAAACACGCACAAACUCAACACAAGUCACUAAUACAAACAAUAUCAACAUCAACAACGCCCCGUUCUCCAGGCAGUGCAGGAGGCCAGCUGUGCACCCAGAGGCCGGCUGUGCACCCGGAGGCUGGCUGGGAGGAGGCAGCUUGCACUGGUGAGUCCAGCCCUGCAGAGCAGAGGAUCCAGUCCAGAGGCCUCUGGUGGGAGCUUUCCAGUCUCCACUUCUGGAUCGGGAACAGCCGGGGCCAAAGCGCCCCACCUCCAGGCAGUGCAGAAGGCCAUCUAUGCACCCAAAAGCCGGCUGCAAGGAACCAGCUUGCACAGGUGAGUCCUGCAUUGACAACGAGACCAACUAACACCAGUGAGAACUAGAUGGCAAAAGGCAAAUAUAGGAACAUUACUAACAAAAAUCAAGGCAAUAUGGCAGCAUCUGAACCCAAUUCUCCAUUAACAGCAAGUCCUGGAUACUGCAACACACCAGAAAAACAAGAUUUGAAUUUAAAAUCACUGGUCAUAAUAAUGUUGCAGGAACACAUGAAGGACAUAAAUAAAUAUCUUAAAGAAAUUAAGGAGAAAAUGGAUCAAAAGCUAGAAGUCCUUACAAGGGAAACACAAAAAUCAUCAAAAGAAAUUCAGGAGAAUAUGGAUCAAAAGAUAGAAGCCAAUAAGGAGGAAACACAAAAAUCACUUAAAGAAAUACAGGCGAACGUUGGUCAACAGGCUGAGGUCAUGAAAGAGGAAGCACGAAAAUCUCUUAAAGAACUACAGGAAAAUACAAACAAGCAAGUGAAGGAGCUGAGCAAAAUCAUCCAGGAUCUAAAAACAGAAGUAGAAACAACUAAGAAAUCUCAAAGGGAGACAACUUUGGAGAUACAAAACCUUGGGAAGAAAUCAGGGGACAUAGAUGCAAAUAUCAACAACAGAAUACAAGAGAUAGAAGAAAGAAUCUCAGAUGCCCAAGAUACCAUAGAAACCAUGGACUCAACGGUCAAAAAAAAUGCAAAAUGCAAAAAGCUUAUAACCCAAAACAUCCAGGAAAUCCAGGACACAAUGAGAAAGCCAAACCUAAGGAUUAUAGGCUUUGAUGAGAGUGAAGAUUUACAACUUAAAGGGCCAGCAAAUAUCUUCAACAAAAUUAUGGAAGAAAACUUCCCUAAUCUAAAGAGGGAGAUGCCCAUGAAUAUACAAGAAGCCUACAGAACUCCAAACAGACUGGACUAGAACAGAAAUACCUGCUGUCACAUAAUAAUCAAAACCCCAAAUGCACUAAACAAAGAAAAAAUAUUAAAGGCAGUAAGAGAAAAAGGCCAAGUAACAUAUAAAGGAAGACCUAUCAGAAUCACACCUGACUUCUCACCAGAGACUAUGAAAGCUAGAACAUCCUGGGCAGAUCUCAUGCAGACUCUAAGAGAACACAAAUGCCAGCCAAAACUACUAUACCCAGCAAAACUCUCAAUCACCAUAGAUGGAGAAACCAAGAUAUUCCAUGGCAAAACCAAGUUUACCCAAUAUCUUACCACAAACCCGGCCCUACGAAGGAUAAUAGGAGGAAAACACCAAUACAAGGAGGGAAACUUCACCCUGGAAAAAGCAAGAUAGUAACCUUCUUUCAUCAAACCCAAAAGAAGAUAACCAAUCAAAUAUUUAAAAUAACAUAAAAAUGACAGGAAGCAAUAAUCACUAUUCCUUAAUAUCUCUUAACAUCCAUGGACUCAAUUCCCCAAUACAAAGACAUAGACUAACAGAGUGGAUACGUAAACAGGAUCAUAUAUUUUGCUGCAUACAGGACACACCUCAGUGUCAAUGAAAAACACUACCUUAAAAUAAAAGGCUGGAAGACAAUUUUACAAGCAAAUGGUCUCAGGAAAAAAGCCAGAGUAGCCAUUCUAAUAUCAGAUAAAAUCGACUUUCAACCUAAAGUCAUCAAAAGAGACAUUGAGGGACACUUCUUGCUGGUCAAGGGAAAAAUCCACCAUGAAGAACUUUCAAUUCUGAACAUCUAUGCACCAAAUGCAAGGGCACCCUUAUUCGUAAAAGAAACUUUACUAAAGCUCAAAGCACACAUUUCACCUAACACAAUAAUUGUGGGGGACUUCAACACUCCUCUCCUCAAUGGACCGAUCAGGAAAACAGAAACUAAACAGGGACUCAGUGAAACUAAUUGAAGCUUUGGACCAAUUAGAUUUAACAGAUAUAUAUAGAACAUUUCACCCUAAAGGAAAAGAAUAUACCUUUUUCUCAGCACCUCAUGGUACCUUCUCCAAAAUCGACCAUAUAAUUGGUCACAAGACAGACCUCAACAAAUAUAAGAAGAUCCAAAUAAUCCCAUGCCUCCUAUCAGAUCACUAUGGAGUAAAAGUGGUCUUCAAUAGCAACAAAAACAACAGAAAGCCCACAUACAAAUGGAAACUGAACAAUACUCUACUCAAUGAUACCUUGGUCAAGGAAGAAAUAAAGAAAGAAAUGAAAGACUUUUUAGAAUUUAAUGAAAAUAAAGACAACAUACCCAAAUCUAUGGGACACAAUGAAAGCAGUGCUAAGAGGAAAACUCAUAGCCCUGAGUGCUCCAAAAAGAAAAUGGAAAGAGCAUACACUAGCAGCUUAACGACACACCUGAAAGUCCUGGAACAAAAAGAAGCUAAUUCACCCAGGAAGAGUAGAAGGCAGGAAAUCAUCAAACUCAGGGCUGAAAUCAAUUAAGUAAAAACAAAGAGAACCAUAAAAACAAUCAACAAAACCAGGAGCUGGUUCUUGAGAAAAUCAACAAGGUAGAUAAACCCUUAGCCAGACUAACCAAAGGGCACAGAGACAGUAUCCAGAUAAACAAAAUUAGAAAUGAAAAGGGAGAUAUAACAACAGAAAUUGAGGAAAUUAAAAAAAAAAUCAUCAGCUCCUACUACAAAGGCCUAUACUCAACACAACUGGAGAAUCUGGAGGAAAUGGACAGUUUGCUAGACAGAUAUUAAGCACCAAAAUUAAAUCAGGAUCAAAUAGAUCAUCUAAAGAGUCCCCUAACCCCUAAAGAAAUAAAUGGGGUCAUAGAAAGUCUCCUAACAAAAAAAGCACGGGACCAGAUGGCUUCAGUGCAGAAUUCUAUCAGACCUUCAAAAAAGACCUAACACCAAUACUCUUCAGACUGUUCCACAAAAUAGAAACAGAAAGGACACUACCCAACUCGUUCUACGAAGCCACAAUUACGAUGAUACCAAAACCACACAAAGAUCCAACUAAGAAAGAGAACUUCAGGCCAAUUUCCCUUAUGAAUAUCGAUGCAAAAAUACUAAAUAAAAUUCUUGCCCACAGAAUCCAAGAACACAUAAAAACGAUCAUCCACCACGAUCAAGUGGGCUUCAUCCCAGGGAUGCAGGGAUGGUUCAAUACAAGGAAAUCCAUCAAUGCUAUCAACUACAUAAACAAACUCAAAGAAAAAAACCAUAUGAUCAUUUCAUUAGAUACUGAAAAAGCAUUUGACAAAAUUCAGCAUCCUUUCAUGCUAAAAGUCUUGGAAAGAACGGGAGUUCAAGGCCCAUACCUAAACAUAGUAAAAGCAAUAUACAGCAAACCAGUAGCCAACAUCAAACUAAAUGGAGAGAAACUUGAAGCAAUCCCACUAAAAUCAGGGACGAGACAAGGCUGCCCCCUCUCUCCAUAUCUUUUCAAUAUAGUACUUGAAGCUCUAGCUAGAGCAAUUAGACAGCAUAAGGAGGUCAAGGGGAUACAAAUUGGAAAGGAAGAAGUCAAACUAUCACUAUUUGCAGAUGAUAUGAUAAUAUACUUAAGUGACCCAAAAUCUCCACCAGAGACCUCCUACAGCUGAUAAACAACUUCAGCAAAGUGGCUGGUUAUAAAAUCAACUCAAGCAAAUCAGUUGCCUUCCUAUACUCAAAGAAUAAGCAGGCUGAGAAAGAAGUCAGGGAAAUGACACCCUUCACAAUAGCCACAAACAAUAUAAAGUAACUUGGUGUGACUUUAACCAAGUAAGUGAAGGAUCUAUACAACAAGAACUUCAGGUCUCUGAACAAAGAAAUCGAAGAAAACCUUGGAUUCUCAGAAAAUGGAAAAAUCUUCCAUGCUCGUGGAUUGACAGGAUUAAUAUAGUUAAAAUGGCCAUCUUGCCAAAAGUAAUAUACAGAUUCAAUGCAAUCACCAUCAAAAUCCCAACUCAGUUCUUCACAAAGUUAGAAAAAGCAAUUCUCAAAUUCAUCUGGAAAAACAAAAAACCCAGGAUAGCUAAAACUAUUCUCAACAACAAAAGAACUUCUGGGGGAAUCAGUAUCCCAGACCUCAAGCAAUACUACAGAGCAAUAGUGUUAAAAAUUGCAUGGUAUUGGAACAGUGACAGGCAAGUGGACCAAUGAAAUAAAAUUGAAGACCCAGAAAUGAAUCCAUACACCUAUGGUCACUUGAUCUUCGACAAAGGAGCUGAAAACAUCCAGUGGAAAAAAGAUAGCCUUUUCAACAAAUGGUGCUGGUUCAACUGGAGGUCAGCAUGCAGAAGAAUGCGAAUUGCCAUUCUUAUCUCCUUGUACUAAACUCAACUCCAAGUGGAUCAAGGACCUUCACAUAAAAUCAGACACACUGAAACUAACAGAAAAGAAACUGGGGAAGACCCUUGAGGACAUGGGCACAGGGUAAAAGUUCCUGAACAGAACACCAAUAGCUUAUGCUCUAAGAUCAAGAAUUGACAAAUGGGAUCUCAUAAAAUUACAAAGUUUCUGUAAGACAAAGGACACUGUCAAUAGGACAAAACUGCAACCAACAAAUUGGGAAAAGAUCUUCACCAACCCUACAUCCGAUAGAGGGCUAAUAUCCAAUAUAUACAGAGAACUCAAGAAGUUAGACCCCAGGGAACCAAAUAACCCUAUUUAAAAAAUGGGGUGCAGAUCUAAACAAAGAAUUUUCACCUGAAAAGAUUCGGAUGGCCGAGAAGCACCAUCAUUAGUCAUUAGGGAAAUGCAAAUCAAAACAACCCUGAGAUUUCACCUCAUACCAGUCAGAAUGGCUAAGGUUAAAAACUCAGGAGACAGCAGGUGUUGGCAAGGAUAUGGAGAAAGAGGAAAAGAAAGUCAUUAGGUCUUCCUUAAAACAACAACAACAACAACAGGGCCAUAAGGUUUUAGUACAGAAUUCUACCACAAUUUGAAAGAGUUAAUGCCAAUAUUCCUCAAUACUCCUCAAACUACUCCACCAAAUAGAAACAGAAACAGAAGGAAGAUUACCAAACUCAUCCUAUGAGUUCACAGUUACUCUGAUAGUUAUACCACACAAAUACUCAGAAUAAAAAAAAAAAAAAAAAAAAGAAUUUCAGACCAAUUUCCCUAAGAACAUCAGUGCCAAAAUACUCAGUAAAAUACUCACAAACUAAUUCCACCGACACGUCCAAAACACUAUCCACCAUGAUAAUGUAGGCUUAAUAUCAAGGAUGCAGAUAUGGUCCAAUAUACAAAAAUCCAUCAGUGUAAUCCACCU